Molecule: long non-coding RNA, 253 nt
Organism: Onychostoma macrolepis
Lineage: Eukaryota; Metazoa; Chordata; Actinopteri; Cypriniformes; Cyprinidae
Exons: 3
Source: RefSeq, a predicted model, not a curated record
CUGUUUUCUUCCAUUAUUCUGUAGCACAUGUUGACAUCAGUGUAAGUGUUGCUCUACAUCAGUAGCAAAUAGAAAGAAAAAGAAGAAGAAAUUUAAACUGUCCAAUAAAUCCAAGGUUCAGCUUACCAAUCACAGUGGGUUCCAGAUCAACAAAGAUGGCACGUGGAACAUGUUUUCCUGCUCCAGUCUCACUGAAGAAGGUGUUGAAGGAAUCGUCUCCUCCUCCUAUUGUCUUAUCACUGGGCAUCUGUCC